CAGCCGCCGCGGUAAUACCGGCGGCCCGAGUGGCGGUCACUAUUAUUGGGCUUAAAACGUCCGUAGCCGGGUUGGGAAGUCCUCCGGGAAAUCUGGCCGCUUAACGGUCAGAAUGCCGGAGGAUACUCCCAGCCUAGGGAGCGGGAGAGGCCGAGGGUAUUCCCGGAGGAGGGGGGAAAUCCUAUAAUCCCGGGAGGACCACCUGUGGCGAAGGCGCUCGGCUGGAACGCGUCCGACGGUGAGGGACGAAGGCCAGGGGAGCAAACCGGAUUAGAUACCCGGGUAGUCCUGGCUGUAAACGAUGCGGACUUUGUGUCGGACAAGCUAUGAGCUUGUCCGGUGCCGGAGGGAAACCGUUAAGUCCGCCGCCUGGGGAGUACGGCCGCAAGGCUGAAACUUAAAGGAAUUGGCGGG
This 414-nucleotide ribosomal RNA is filed under the name uncultured microorganism. RNAcentral describes it as "bacterial SSU rRNA". It matches the Rfam family "Archaeal small subunit ribosomal RNA", at positions 459 to 872 of the family's 1478-position model. The record is from RNAcentral.